Molecule: ribosomal RNA, 254 nt
Filed under: uncultured bacterium
Lineage: Bacteria
Description: partial 16S ribosomal RNA
Rfam family: Bacterial small subunit ribosomal RNA
Source: RNAcentral
UACGUAGGGAGCAAGCGUUGUUCGGAUUUACUGGGCGUAAAGGGCGCGUAGGCGGCGCGGUAAGUCACUUGUGAAAUCUCUGAGCUUAACUCAGAACGUCCAAGUGAUACUGCAGUGCUAGAGUGCAGAAAGGGCAAUCGGAAUUCUUGGUGUAGCGGUGAAAUGCGUAGAUAUCAAGAGGAACACCUGAGGCGAAGGCGGGUUGCUAGGAUGACACUGACGCUGAGUGCGCGAAAGCCAGGGGAGCAAACGGG